Transfer RNA from Trichoderma virens Gv29-8, 99 nucleotides. It matches the Rfam family "tRNA". Rfam says of the family: Transfer RNA (tRNA) molecules are approximately 80 nucleotides in length. Their secondary structure includes four short double-helical elements and three loops (D, anti-codon, and T loops). Lineage: Eukaryota; Fungi; Ascomycota; Sordariomycetes; Hypocreales; Hypocreaceae. The record is from Rfam.
GCCCGGUUAGCUCAAUCGGUAGAGCGUGAGACUCUUACGAGACACACGUUCUGAUGUCGCGAUAUCUCAAGGUUGCGGGUUCGACCCCCGCAUUGGGCU